CGAACGAGUGCUCGUUGAUGAUCGGUGCUUGCACCGAGAUUCAACAUGGCACGAGUGGCGGACGGGUGAGUAACACGUGGGUAACCUGCCCUCAAGUGGGGGAUAACAUUUGGAAACAGAUGCUAAUACCGCAUAGAUCCAAGAACCGCAUGGUUCUUGGCUGAAAGAUGGCGUAAGCUAUCGCUUUUGGAUGGACCCGCGGCGUAUUAGCUAGUUGGUGAGGUAAUGGCUCACCAAGGCGAUGAUACGUAGCCGAACUGAGAGGUUGAUCGGCCACAUUGGGACUGAGACACGGCCCAAACUCCUACGGGAGGCAGCAGUAGGGAAUCUUCCACAAUGGACGCAAGUCUGAUGGAGCAACGCCGCGUGAGUGAAGAAGGCUUUCGGGUCGUAAAACUCUGUUGUUGGAGAAGAAUGGUCGGCAGAGUAACUGUUGUCGGCGUGACGGUAUCCAACCAGAAAGCCACGGCUAACUACGUGCCAGCAGCCGCGGUAAUACGUAGGUGGCAAGCGUUAUCCGGAUUUAUUGGGCGUAAAGCGAGCGCAGGCGGUUUUUUAAGUCUGAUGUGAAAGCCCUCGGCUUAACCGAGGAAGCGCAUCGGAAACUGGGAAACUUGAGUGCAGAAGAGGACAGUGGAACUCCAUGUGUAGCGGUGAAAUGCGUAGAUAUAUGGAAGAACACCAGUGGCGAAGGCGGCUGUCUGGUCUGUAACUGACGCUGAGGCUCGAAAGCAUGGGUAGCGAACAGGAUUAGAUACCCUGGUAGUCCAUGCCGUAAACGAUGAAUGCUAGGUGUUGGAGGGUUUCCGCCCUUC
This 815-nucleotide ribosomal RNA is filed under the name uncultured bacterium. Its description in RNAcentral is "bacterial SSU rRNA". It matches the Rfam family "Bacterial small subunit ribosomal RNA", at positions 63 to 841 of the family's 1533-position model. The record is from RNAcentral.